Molecule: ribosomal RNA, 254 nt
Filed under: uncultured bacterium
Lineage: Bacteria
Description: partial 16S ribosomal RNA
Rfam family: Bacterial small subunit ribosomal RNA
Source: RNAcentral
GACGAACCGUGCGAACGUUAUUCGGAAUCAUUGGGCUUAAAGGGCGCGUAGGCGGCGGUGUAAGUUGGAAGUGAAAUCCCAUCGGCUCAACCGUGGAAUUGCUCCCAGUACUGCAUCGCUCGAGGGGGAUAGGGGUUUGCGGAACUACCGGUGGAGCGGUGAAAUGUGUUGAUAUCGGUGGGAACGCCAGUGGCGAAGGCGGCAAACUUGACCCUUCCUGACGCUGAGGCGCGAAAGCUAGGGGAGCAAACGGG